AAUAUUGCACAAUGGGGGAAACCCUGAUGCAGCGACGCCGCGUGAGUGAAGAAGUAUNNNGGUAUNUCAAGCUCUAUCAGCAGNGACNAAAAUGACGGUACCUGACUAAGAAGCCCCGGCUAACUACGUGCCAGCAGCCGCGGUAAUACGUAGGGGGCAAGCGUUAUCAGGAUUUACUGGGUGUAAAGGGAGCGUAGGUGGCAAAUCAAGUCAGAUGUGAAAGCCCGGGGCUCAACCCCGGGAUUGCAUUUGAAACUGGUAUGCUAGAGUGCAGGAGAGGUAAGUGGAAUUCCUAGUGUAGCGGUGAAAUGCGUAGAUAUUAGGAGGAACACCAGUGGCGAAGGCGGCUUACUGGACUGUAACUGACACUGAGGCUCGAAAGCGUGGGGAGCAAACAGG
RNAcentral lists this ribosomal RNA (399 nucleotides) under uncultured bacterium. Its description in RNAcentral is "partial 16S ribosomal RNA". It matches the Rfam family "Bacterial small subunit ribosomal RNA", at positions 360 to 776 of the family's 1533-position model. The record is from RNAcentral.